RNAcentral lists this ribosomal RNA (505 nucleotides) under uncultured bacterium. Its description in RNAcentral is "partial 16S ribosomal RNA". It matches the Rfam family "Bacterial small subunit ribosomal RNA", at positions 28 to 507 of the family's 1533-position model. The record is from RNAcentral.
GACGAACGCUGGCGGCGUGCCUAAUACAUGCAAGUAGAACGCACAGUUUAUACCGUAGCUUGCUACACCAUAGACUGUGAGUUGCGAACGGGUGAGUAACGCGUAGGUAACCUGCCUGGUAGCGGGGGAUAACUAUUGGAAACGAUAGCUAAUACCGCAUAAUAUUAAUUAUUGCAUGAUAAUUGAUUGAAAGAUGCAACUGCAUCACUACCAGAUGGACCUGCGUUGUAUUAGCUAGUAGGUGAGGUAACGGCUCACCUAGGCGACGAUACAUAGCCGACCUGAGAGGGUGAUCGGCCACACUGGGACUGAGACACGGCCCAGACUCCUACGGCAGGCAGCAGUAGGGAAUCUUCGGCAAUGGACGAAAGUCUGACCGAGCAACGCCGCGUGAGGGAAGAAGGUUUUCGGAUCGUAAAGCUCUGUUGUAAGAGAAGAACGGGUGUGAGAGUGGAAAGUUCACACUGUGACGGUAUCUUACCAGAAAGGGACGGCUAACUACGUG